This 165-nucleotide non-coding RNA is filed under the name Cyanobium gracile. Lineage: Bacteria; Bacillati; Cyanobacteriota; Cyanophyceae; Synechococcales; Prochlorococcaceae. The record is from RNAcentral.
GGAGGAUGGCGCGCAGGAGGUUCCUCCCCUUCACGGGGAGGACGCAAGGAGGAAAGGCGGUGCGGGGUGACCCAAGUCCGCCGCUGUCCCGCAGCUGUGAUGGACACCGUGGCCCCCCGCCCCGGCGUCCUCAGUCAGAACGCUCACCCCCCACGACACCAUUCC